RNAcentral lists this ribosomal RNA (492 nucleotides) under uncultured bacterium. Its description in RNAcentral is "partial 16S ribosomal RNA". It matches the Rfam family "Bacterial small subunit ribosomal RNA", at positions 28 to 507 of the family's 1533-position model. The record is from RNAcentral.
GAUGAACGCUAGCUACAGGCUUAACACAUGCAAGUCGAGGGGAAACGACAUCGCAAGCUUGCUUUUGAUGGGCGUCGACCGGCGCACGGGUGAGUAACGCGUAUCCCACCUGCCCAUCACUUGGGAAUAACCUUGCGAAAGUAAGACUAAUACCCAAUGACAUCCCACGAAGACAUCUGAAUGGGAUUAAAGAUUUAUCGGUGAUGGAUGGGGAUGCGUCUGAUUAGCUUGUUGGUGGGGUAACGGCCCACCAAGGCAACGAUCAGUAGGGGUUCUGAGAGUAAGGUCCCACACAUUGGAAGAGAGACGCGGUCCAAACUGCUACGGGAGGGAGCAGUGAGAAAUAGUAGUCAAUGGGCGAGAGUCUGAACCAGCCGAGUAGCGUGCAGGAUGACGGCCCUAUGUGUUGUAAACUUCUUUUAUAAGGGAAUAAAGUGGGUCUCGGGAGACUUUUUGCAUGUACCUUAUGAAUAAGGACCGGCUAAUUCCGUG